GGUAAUUUUAAGGAAAUUUUGCUGUUUUUGGUUAUUAUCUUGAAUAUAAUUAUAGAUAGAGAUAAACUGUAAACAGCAAUAAUGUUCAGCAAAGUAAGAUCUACAAAUAAGUCAACAUGACCAAAAUGGUCAGUUGACCACUUUAGGAGUUAUUGCCCUUUAUAGUCAAUUUUUAACCAUUUUUCGUAAAUCUUAGUAAUCUUUUAGAAAAGUCCUCUCCUCUGAAACUACUGGGCCAAAUUUAACCAAACUUGGCCAUAAUCAUCAUUGGGGUAUAUAGUUUAAAAAAUGUGUCCGGUGACCCGGCCAACGAACCAAGAUGGCCGCCAUGGCUAAAAAUAGAACAUAGGGGUAAAAUGCAGUUUUUGGCUUAUAACUCAAAAAACCAAAGCAUUUAGAGCAAAUCUGACACACAGUAAAAUUGUUCAUCAGGUCAAGAUCUAUCUGCCCUGAAAUUUUCAGAUGAAUCAGACAUUCCGUUGUUGGGUUGCUGCCC
RNAcentral lists this long non-coding RNA (496 nucleotides) under Mytilus galloprovincialis (Mediterranean mussel). The record is from RNAcentral. Lineage: Eukaryota; Metazoa; Mollusca; Bivalvia; Mytilida; Mytilidae.